CCUACGGGGGGCUGCAGUGGGGAAUAUUGGACAAUGGGCGAAAGCCUGAUCCAGCAAUGCCGCGUGAGUGAUGAAGGCCUUAGGGUUGUAAAGCUCUUUUACCAGGGAUGAUAAUGACAGUACCUGGAGAAUAAGCUCCGGCUAACUCCGUGCCAGCAGCCGCGGUAAUACGGAGGGAGCUAGCGUUGUUCGGAAUUACUGGGCGUAAAGCGCGCGUAGGCGGCUAUUCAAGUCAGAGGUGAAAGCCUGGAGCUCAACUCCAGAACUGCCUUUGAAACUAGAUAGCUAGAAUCUUGGAGAGGCGAGUGGAAUUCCGAGUGUAGAGGUGAAAUUCGUAGAUAUUCGGAAGAACACCAGUGGCGAAGGCGACUCGCUGGACAAGUAUUGACGCUGAGGUGCGAAAGCGUGGGGAGCAAACAGGAUUAGAUACCCCGGUAGUC
This 440-nucleotide ribosomal RNA is filed under the name uncultured Sphingomonadales bacterium. RNAcentral's name for it is "bacterial SSU rRNA". It matches the Rfam family "Bacterial small subunit ribosomal RNA", at positions 338 to 795 of the family's 1533-position model. Lineage: Bacteria; Pseudomonadati; Pseudomonadota; Alphaproteobacteria; Sphingomonadales. The record is from RNAcentral.